This 521-nucleotide ribosomal RNA is filed under the name uncultured bacterium. RNAcentral describes it as "bacterial SSU rRNA". It matches the Rfam family "Bacterial small subunit ribosomal RNA", at positions 8 to 521 of the family's 1533-position model. The record is from RNAcentral.
AGAGUUUGAUCCUGGCUCAGGAUGAACGCUAGCGACAGGCCUAACACAUGCAAGUCGAGGGGCAGCGCGGGGAAAGCUUGCUUUUCCUGGCGGCGACCGGCGCACGGGUGCGUAACAGGUGUGCAAUCUGUCCAUAAUCGGGGAAUAGCCCAGCGAAAGUUGGAUUAAUGCUCCAUGUGAGUUUUAGAGGCAUCUCUUUAACUUGAAACGCGAGGAUUAUGGGUGAGCACGCUUCUGAUUAGCUAGUUGGUGAGGUAACGGCUCACCAAGGCGACGAUCAGUAGGGGUUCUGAGAGGAAGGUCCCCCACAUUGGAACUGAGACACGGUCCAAACUCCUACGGGAGGCAGCAGUGAGGAAUAUUGGUCAAUGGACGCAAGUCUGAACCAGCCAAGUCGCGUGAAGGAUGAAGGUUCUAUGGAUUGUAAACUUCUUUGGUCUGAGGGUAAAAAAGCGGACGUGUCCGUUCUUGCAAGUAUCAGACGAAUAAGCAUCGGCUAACUCCGUGCCAGCAGCCGCGGU